RNAcentral lists this non-coding RNA (31 nucleotides) under Mus musculus (house mouse). The record is from RNAcentral. Lineage: Eukaryota; Metazoa; Chordata; Mammalia; Rodentia; Muridae.
UAAUAGCUUAUUAUAAUGACUGUGGACCUGA